This 2740-nucleotide unclassified non-coding RNA is filed under the name Hevea brasiliensis (rubber tree). The record is from RNAcentral. Lineage: Eukaryota; Viridiplantae; Streptophyta; Magnoliopsida; Malpighiales; Euphorbiaceae.
UUUUUUUUUUCGUUUUUUUGGCAUUUUCAGCCAUUGUUAGCAGAAUGAACAAAACUACACUGAUGUUAGUGAACUAGCAAUGUAUUUACAGUUAAUAGAAUUUUUCUUUUUUUUUUUUCUUUUGAAGGAGUACCUGACUAAUUGAUCUAGAUCCUUUAGAAAAGCUUGCUAUGUAUGAUGUAACAGUUCAAGGGUGGGUGCCUACUCUACAAUGCCAGCAAGCCCAUGUUGAGUAAGCAUCUAAGCUAGAAGGAAAAGAAGCUACAAGUUACAUUAGAAGUAGUCAUCAAAUGCCCCCUCUUUAUCACCAUGCCACUCCUCCGAACCUGCAUAAUGCAACCCCAAAGAGAAAGAUACAAGACAUGAUCAUGAUCAGCAAUCUGUUCAAUAGAAACAAGCAAAACUUUGAACUGUAACUGUCUUCAUCAAUGGAGCAAGUGAAAUUGUUGCAAUAUAGGGAAUGACUUUCUGAAUCAUAUUAUCUUUUUCCCAAAUGAAGAAUAAAUGACAAGGAACUUUCUAGCAUUUGCUUUGCAGCAGAAGAUUCUCAACUGCAAUUACAGUUUACAACUUUACAUCAAGAACGAAGACUAACCUGAAAUUUCUGUUGUUGAAAGAUCCUGUACUAUCAACUGGAAAUUGUUAUUUUGAGAAGACAAGUCAUCUGAGGCAGAAGAUAAAACUGGAGCUGGAAAUGAGAAAUCAGAGUCAUUGGAUGAGGCAUCCGAAUUAUCAGAAGCAAAAUCAACCCGGACAUCUGUGGCAAUGGUUCCAGAAGUUGAAGUCGAGUUUGAUGAAGUGUGCAAGAUCAUUUUCAGGUCUGCAAAUUGGUCUGACAUGGAACAUAACAUCCUGAGCCACACUAGAUCAAGUCUAGCAUUAGUUAAACAACAUAUUAAUUUUACAAACUUUCAUGAUUCAUGUAGAUAUACUAUUGCAGCUAACUAAACAAACCAUGGAUGAUGGAUAGUAAAUAUGAAUGUACAAUGCAAGCAUUGCCAAGGAUGAAGCAUGUUGAACUCUAUAUCUGACAUCCAUAAUAAAACUUGAAAACUUUGGAAUCCUAUGGUUACAAUGUCCCUAAAGUUUUCCACACUAUUACUACCUGUUCAAAGAAUCUUGAAGUCGAUGAACUCGUCUUUCAGUUUCUUUUAAUUUCUUACGUCUUUUUUCACUUAAUCCCUGGGCUUCAGCAUAUUUCCUUUCAGAAUUUUCAGCUCUUUGUUUUUCUGCCCGUAAUAAUGCCUUCAAGUUCCCCACUUCUUCACUGCAAGUCCCCUUCUUGGCAUCAUCGUCAUGAGUAGAGGCUUCUGUGACGAUAAGAUGUGCUCCACUUUCUUUAUGUGCAUCCUCACGUUCCUUGAGAAGCACAGCAUUUGUUUCAUCAACUUGGUUUUGUAAAUUUUUCAGGGAAUGCAGCAAAGUUUUUAUCUCUCGCCCUUUUUCUACUUCCAAUUCAAUCCUCAAUUGUUUUUCUGAUUGCAAAUGGCAUGUGAGUUCCUCCACUUGUUUUUGAAGUUUAUAAUUUUUUACCUCGAGUGAAUCUAUUUCUCCUUCUUCCAUAUUUAAGUUAAUAUCCUCUCCCUCAGCAAUUCUUUCCUUCAAUUUAGAUUGUGAAACAACUGAUGCUUCCUUCAGAUUCUUAUAGCAUGAAACAGCUCUAUGGGAGCGCCAAUGAGCCUGGACGGCAGUUGCUGCCUUAGUUUGCUCUCUUAAUCUGAAUUCACCACGUGCAGCCAUUGCCCGUAUGCCUGUUUGCAAGACAACUGCAGAGGACCUCAUCCCAUUAUAUGAUCUUCUGGCCAAUUGUCUACGCAAAUUCUUCUGAAUUUUGACAGCUGCUGCCUCCUGUCUCAUCUCCUUAUAUAAUUGGCGAGCGUGUUUUCCUCUCCAUUGAGAUUGUAUAUGAAUAGAAGCCUGCCGCUGAAGAAGGUAAUUUUUACGAGUUGCACGAGUUUUAACAUGCCUCUGUAUAACUGUCACUGAGUUGCGAAGUACUCUUGCUCUAUGUGCAUCUAACUCAGCCAUCUGACCAGUUCUUAGGAAAACCUUUGUUUUCCCCAACUGAUACCCCGUAAGCUCCAUCUUUUCAAAAAUCCAUUUGCAUGCUACCCUCUCUUCAUAGUUCCCCCUCCAAAUCUCUGGCGCAAGCAUUCCAAAUCGGUGUAGGAAUUGAGAGAAGGUCAUAUGAGUAGGGUAUCCAGAACAUUUGAUUCUAAUUGCCUCUAGAACUCCACCAGAACGUAGUUGUUGCAUGACAUUCAUGCUAUCAAAUAUAGCAGGUUCUAAAGUAUUAUUUGGCUUAAUACAUCUAAUGUAGUGGGGCUCUGUAGAAUUUAGUGUAUCCAUCAAUUGCUGCAGCUGUAGCUUAAAUCGGGAGCCAAUAGAUGAGAACUUUGACGGUUUGGCAGUCUCCUCAGAAAAUGGCUGAAAGAGGCCCGAUACAAAACAACAUUUGGAAGCACUCAACAAAUCCUGAUGUUCAGGUACAACACAGUCUUUGUUUUUGUCUAAAAAUUGAUCAGACUGAUAUUGAACCUCUCCUGCAUAGUGAACAAUGGUAAAAUCUGCACGAGUGAGUUUUGGCUUAAUGAACCGCUUAUGAUCUUUGAAAGUCUGAUAAAGCUUCUGUGCAAAUGUCUCAUGAGUUGAUUUUGGAAACAUACAUGCCUCGUCAAGCAGGGCAAUGAUCCCACCUGUUUUCUUCUCAAUGAGGUCCAGAAUAUCUUGAUUAUCAACA